GACGAACGCUGGCGGCGUGCUUAACACAUGCAAGUCGAACGGAAAGGCCCCCUUGUGGGGUACUCGAGUGGCGAACGGGUGAGUAACACGUGAGUAACCUACCCUUGACUUUGGGAUAACUUCAGGAAACUGGGGCUAAUACCGGAUAGGAGCUCCUGCUACAUGGUGGGGGUUGGAAAGUUUCGGCGGUUGGGGAUGGACUCGCGGCUUAUCAGCUUGUUGGUGGGGUAGUGGCUCACCAAGGCUUUGACGGGUAGCCGGCCUGAGAGGGUGACCGGCCACAUUGGGACUGAGAUACGGCCCAGACUCCUACGGGAGGCAGCAGUGGGGAAUAUUGCACAAUGGGCGGAAGCCUGAUGCAGCAACGCCGCGUGCGGGAUGACGGCCUUCGGGUUGUAAACCGCUUUCGCCUGUGACGAAGCGUGAGUGACGGUAAUGGGUAAAGAAGCACCGGCUAACUACGUG
RNAcentral lists this ribosomal RNA (465 nucleotides) under uncultured bacterium. RNAcentral describes it as "partial 16S ribosomal RNA". It matches the Rfam family "Bacterial small subunit ribosomal RNA", at positions 28 to 507 of the family's 1533-position model. The record is from RNAcentral.